This 1020-nucleotide long non-coding RNA is filed under the name Cottoperca gobio. RNAcentral describes it as "lncRNA (ENSCGOG00000007913.1)". The record is from RNAcentral. Lineage: Eukaryota; Metazoa; Chordata; Actinopteri; Perciformes; Bovichtidae.
UUUCAUUGUCAAUCUGUGGCGGUGCAAUUCUAUACGUUUAACUAUACGUGUUUCUUGUGUAGGUCUGUUUGACUGGAAAAAGGACAAGAAGUUCUUUCCUCGUCUUGAAGAACCCAUCUCUCCGGAUAGAGACUCUCCGACCGAAGAUAGCUGAAGCUGUGUGUAGGACUCCUGGAAAUGUCAGAUGUCUCUCUCUCACACAAGAACACGGUAGUUGCAUCAUGCAAGUGGAGUUCACAAAAGCAGAAGGAGGAGGCCUUGGCUUUGCUUUAAUUGGGGGAACUAAUGGCAGCAUGCUCAGAGUGAAAGACAUCUGCUCUGGUGGAGUAGCUGAGCAGGACGGUCGGCUGAGAGUGGGAGAUAUUCUAUUAGAGGUGAAUAGUGUGAUUGUGUCCGGGCUGAGCUACAGUAAGGUGGUGGAUAUCCUGCGUAAAGCUGAAGGCACUGUACAGCUCACCAUCUGCAGAGACAUCCUACCCCUAUCCUACUGCGACUCACCUCCACCGCCCAACAUGUCCACUCACACUGAAGCUAUUUUAGCCGAGCAGCCGGCUCCCGUGCCCAGCCAUGAUACCUGUUCCUCGCCUGACGUCAUGCUGAAUAAGCCAGUGGAGCGCCCGCCUGAGGCGACUUCAGACCCUGUGGUCAAUGAAGCUGGUGUGUUCGUUACCUCACCCCCGCCUCCACCACGCCGACUGACUAUCGUAACAGAUGACAUUUCAAUUUCGCAGGAGAGCUGUAACAGCACCCCUUCUCAUCAAGCUUGCUGCCCACCCCUCAAUGUCUCUGACAUUUUGCAUGGAGCUUCUGACAGGUGGAAAAGACGCAGGGAAAGGAAGCUCAGCCUUGCAUGAUUUCAUCCCCUCCUACCGAAGAGUAAAAAUGGUCUGGUCUCACCCCUGCCCCCUGACUCCCCCAGGAAACAAAUUGUGACCAAACUUUUGGACCGGUCCUGCAAAGACAUCCGGAAAACCCAGUCAGACGGCUGGAGCAGCGAAGAAGAAGAUGAUGAUGAUGUGU